This is a non-coding RNA of Cyanistes caeruleus (blue tit), 114 nucleotides long. The record is from RefSeq and is a predicted model, not a curated record. Lineage: Eukaryota; Metazoa; Chordata; Aves; Passeriformes; Paridae.
GCGGAGCCCAACCUGACCCGGCUGCUGCGACAGCGCGAAUGGGGGCGGAGCUUCUCCCGGCAGGAGAGAUCGCAGCUGAGCUCCCACUUCCUGCCCAAUCACGAGGCGGCGCUG